Molecule: transfer RNA, 77 nt
Filed under: Shewanella hanedai
Lineage: Bacteria; Pseudomonadati; Pseudomonadota; Gammaproteobacteria; Alteromonadales; Shewanellaceae
Also listed under: 60 other names
Description: tRNA-Arg
Rfam family: tRNA
About the family: Transfer RNA (tRNA) molecules are approximately 80 nucleotides in length. Their secondary structure includes four short double-helical elements and three loops (D, anti-codon, and T loops). Further hydrogen bonds mediate the characteristic L-shaped molecular structure. tRNAs have two regions of fundamental functional importance: the anti-codon, which is responsible for specific mRNA codon recognition, and the 3' end, to which the tRNAs corresponding amino acid is attached (by aminoacyl-tRNA synthetases). tRNAs cope with the degeneracy of the genetic code in two manners: having more than one tRNA (with a specific anti-codon) for a particular amino acid; and 'wobble' base-pairing, i.e. permitting non-standard base-pairing at the 3rd anti-codon position.
Source: RNAcentral
GCGGAUGUAGCUCAGCUGGAUAGAGUACCUGGCUACGAACCAGGCGGUCGGAGGUUCGACUCCUCCCAUCCGCACCA